Passer domesticus (house sparrow) is the source of this 4207-nucleotide long non-coding RNA. RefSeq lists it as uncharacterized. The record is from RefSeq and is a predicted model, not a curated record. The transcript is spliced from 3 exons. NCBI's taxonomy places the organism in Eukaryota, Metazoa, Chordata, Aves, Passeriformes, Passeridae.
CCUCUCAGUCUCAGCCUGUAUCCUCCACAGUCCCAGCACUCCAUGCUUUAAGUAUGAAACACUAUCUGAAGCCUUCCGGACACAGGGCUUAAUUAGUGAUUCAGCAUUAAACUUCAUACAGCGAACAUGUCCCAAGCAAAGCUGAAAACCAGGCCCAAGCAAUAGGAAGGAUUAGAGUUUUCUGCCCUGUGCCAAAAAAAAUAGUAAGGGUGACACAGGAACAAGGAAGAGGAAAAGGAAGAGGAAUGAAAGCGAUGAAAAGAAUUCUGUUUACUUUAAGCUAAUGGCCAAACAUCUGUGAGAAAUGCAACAGGAUUUUAGACUAAGCGGAAAGGAGAAUGAUUUAAAAUAGAAAAAAAAUGGUGAUGGUUCUUGUUCUGCACUCCUCCCUUUCCUUCCACUCUUCCCAGGAGCACUAGAAAAUAGUAACAAAGAGGAAAGAAUUAGUUGCAUGAAGAGGGAAGUGCAGAGAAGUGCAAAAAAAGUUAAGAUCUCGGGGGAAAGCUUAUGGAUUAUUGCCAGAUUUAAGAACAUUUACUUUGCUUGCUUUCCAAAUGUAAUCGCAGAUUAUAAAAUUGAUAAUUACGAAGAAAAGAGCAACCUAGAGAAAAAGCAGAGUGCAAUGCUUGCAUAACUGAUAAUGACAAAGAAUUUCCAAAUCCAUUAUUCAUUGACGAUAACAUGAAACAAUACCUCUUAGAGAUAAAGACUUGAUAGAUUAUACCCUCGGGCACUAUUUGAGGCAGCCAAAGCAAUCUUUGGCUUGCUAAUCUAGCAGCAGAGCAGUUGCAAAAGACACUUGGCACUUCUAAUAAAAUUUCCACAGUGAUCCAGGCACUUUGCAAUGAUCUGAUCACACCUAUUAAUCAGAGGUGGGGAAGUAAAAAUCUCAGAGGACAACGUUUGCAGAGGAUUUAAAGGUUGGUCAUCAAACAUAUUUGGAUCACUUUUCAGAUGUUAUUACUGAAGGCCAGUGCAAAGUAUCUAGGAAUGUAGGUCAACUGUGAUUGAAGACAGGGCUUUAUCCCAUCAAAUUGUGACAGAAAGUGUUUGAGCCACCCUGCAUGAUUUCUGUCACCAUCCAUACUUGGGCACUUGGUUUUAAAGAGUCCACUUUCCUGGACAAGCUUGGUCUUCAACUCACCCAUCUGAACAGCAUGGAUUUCCUACGUGUGCUUCUGGCCUUUUAGCUACAGCCCCUGGGAUAAUGACCCUACCAGCAAGGCAGCUAAAACUGCAGGAACUGGGCACAUCGAUCCGUCCUAAGGCUCGCACUGGAUUGCAGCUUCCCCAAGAGCACACGACCACUUUUUCCACAGCACUACAGAUGCUUUCGUUCUCUGGCUCUGCAAUUAGACAGAAAAGCCUGCAGGAGAGCAGGAGGAUUUUUUGAAGAGGCUGUGUGUUCCUGAACCUCUGGGAUUGGUGAGAGAGAUACACUUGCAAUUGGAAAGAUAUAAUAGUCAGAGGGAGCAACUACUAGAGGGAUCAUGGUGAACAAGCCCUUCCUUCACAGCCACUUGGGGUGAAUCCUCAUGGGACAGGAAUCAGGGUGCCAGCAUUCAACUUCUCUACCCACAUCCUUCUGGUGACACUAAGGAGAAAGAUGGGAAAGAAAGAAUGAUGGCACAAGCCCCCAGAGGUCUGUCAGACAGUGGAAAGCUGGGGGAGAGCAAGCUGCCAGCAAAACAUCCUCCAGGCACAUUCGAAGAAAGAGGUGAAUGUGAUAGCUAAAAUUCUAGGCAUCAGGCUCCCAAAUACUGCCACCUUGAUUCAUUUCAAACCACUUUAGAGAAGGCAGCAUCUCCUUAGAUAAGCCUGUUGCUUCACACACACAUCUCAGUGCUACACAAAUGUCCACAACUACUGCUAAUAUGUGUUUACAUAUUCCUUUAUGCAUUCACAGCACAGAAUGUAUAAACUGGGGGGGGAAAUGCCCUCUUGCUUGUAUGGCAGCCUACAGGCAUCAAUUUCUUCUCUACGGUAAUGCUGACACUAGUGAUGAUUCUGCUCAAACAAGCACAUAAACCAGAAAUAGUUCUGCUUGUCUCCAGCUUCAUAAGGGAACAGAAGUACACAAUAACACAGGGACUGAACAAACAAUAAUAAAUUUGUAUUUUCUACCUUCUGAAACUGGCACCAUCUGAGCAACAGAAGAAUUAGCAGCCAUUUUCAGUAAUCAUUUAUUUACUGGAAUCAUGCAAGCAGAUAUAUUCAGCUAUAUGAUUGAGGAUUUCUGUGCAGUGCUUUCACACAGCAUUUAUGUAAUUUAUUCUGUAACAAGCUAUUCCCAGCUCUAUAAGGAAAUUACUAUAUCCUACAUUCAAGUCAGAGUAAAUCUUAAUUUCUUUAAGCUUCCUUUUUUUUGAAAGGUAAAACACGGAUGUAGAAAACAAUCACCCUUAUUAAAGAAGUGACUGCAGACAACAGACACCAAAACUGAGGCAAGUGAGAGGACAAAAGAGAUAAGUGUCUAAGACACUUGCAGCUUAGCAGGGGGAGUAGCUUCCCUCUUUCAAAUAAAAAAUGUACGUGUGGUACCUUUGAAAAGAAAAAGGGAUGUUAAAAGACUAAGUACAUAAUUUACCUAUUAAGACAGAACAUCUAACUUGCAUGAUAGUUUUACUGGCAGAUCUGAGUUCCUGAAAUUUAUACAAAACCAAAAGGUACCUACACUUGAAAUGCUAAUUGUUCCCUGGCAUGAGGAAUGCUGCAACAUUGAAAAUGAUCCCUCUGGUCAGACAUGGCAGGGAGAGAUUUAGAUCAGUGUGGUGAUGCAACUAUUCAGGCUGACUCCAAAAUUAAACAUGUGUCCACCCAAUGGUCAGCCAGGCAACCACAUUUAGAGGAUGACAUAUUUUUUAAUUCUUUUCUUAGGAGGGAUAUAAACAAGACUGCAAGGAAUAAAUCAACUCCUAAUCAAGAACAUAAGGGAAUUUCUUUGGAGUAACUGAUAAACAUUUCCUGUGCAAACUUCUUUGCUUAGGAAAGUUACUCUACAGGUUUCUGGGGUGCCCAGUCCUGGCCCUUUCCUUUGGUGAGCAUCAGCCAUGUGAGAGCAUCAGUCGGCUCCACUGCCAGGUGCCACAGCCAGGUUUGCUAGGCCAGCAUUCUACAGAGAGUAAAACCUGCUUAAAAUAUUUUCAUAGUUAAGUAAUUUGAAAAUAGGUAAACAACAGUUAAAGUUUUAUUCUACAAUCUAAAAUGUGAAUGUCUACACUAAAUAAGUGUCUUAGGAAUAGUGGCUGUAUUCCUCUUUUCCACGCCUGUCCGUUUAUUUCAACCAGUUUCACUCUUGGGAAGAAUUGUUUGACUAAAAUAAAAAUAAACAACAUUUUGAAGGACUUAAAAUAUAUAAUUUUAUUUAAACUAAGUUUGUGUUGUUAAGAUACCCAAAGAAGCCCCAAUGAGCAAGGAGUAUAAUGAAGAAAGUUGAUAGUAUUAUUUCCACCAUAAAAUUUCAUUUAAGGUUUUGUAGUUGAUGCAGAACAGAUGCAUCUCUGAAAAUAGUGUACUUUUCUUUCAAAACAACAAAUGAACUUCUGACUGCCCAGGUCACUUAGUUUGUGUACUGACAGACUGGGUUUUCGGUAGUUGACCUUUAUCAGAUUGGCUGACUGACAGCAAUUUGGUCGGUCAUUCUGUUAAAGGCAAAUGUGUAUUUCUUUGCCCCAGAAUAAAAACUUUAAUUGGUUAAUAGAAUAUCAAGCCCCAUUUCAGUUCUGUACUCUUCUGUUGUUUUGUUGUUGUUUGGCUCAAGUACCUUUAUCUUGCUAUUUAGCUAAAUCACUAGCAAUAAUAUGAAAUAAAAUUUGAAUCAAUAACUGUGUUCAGAAAAUUUGUACUAAAGCUAUAAAUAGAAUGAGUUGCUUCCAGCAGGGACUAAAGCUUGCAGGGUACUCAAAGAAAAUUUCUACUCCAUUAAUAACUCAGCUGUUCUUAUAAAAGACCACAUUUUCUUAGCAUAAGGAAGAUUUGCCAACAGGACUCUUUUUGAUGCCUACAUUGAUACCUAACAUACUAUAAUGUUCUUAAUAUGUCAAACUCACCUAGCCUUAACAGGGCAAAUUCUGAUCCUCUUGGGAUUGGAUGUGUUCAGCUCUUCAGGAUGUUGCUUUCCAGUGGCUUUUGCACUAAGCAGGCAGCAGCAGCUGGGUAAUGAUGCUGGACUUGCUUCUUUGUAUCUGACAGCUGACCUAAACCAAAU